This 907-nucleotide ribosomal RNA is filed under the name uncultured bacterium. Its description in RNAcentral is "bacterial SSU rRNA". It matches the Rfam family "Bacterial small subunit ribosomal RNA", at positions 11 to 915 of the family's 1533-position model. The record is from RNAcentral.
GUUUGAUCCUGGCUCAGAUUGAAACGCUGGCGGCAUGCCUUACACAUGCAGUCGAACGGCAGCGCGGGGCAACCUGGCGGCGAGUGGCGAACGGGUGAGUAAUACAUCGGAACGUACCCUGGAGUGGGGGAUAACGUAGCGAAAGUUACGCUAAUACCGCAUACGAUCUAAGGAUGAAAGUGGGGGAUUCGCAAGAACCUCAUGCUCCCGGAGCGGCCGAUAACUGAUUAGCUAGUUGGUGAGGUAAAGGCUCACCAAGGCUUCGAUCAGUAGCUGGUCUGAGAGGACGACCAGCCACACUGGAACUGAGACACGGUCCAGACUCCUACGGGAGGCAGCAGUGGGGAAUUUUGGACAAUGGGCGCAAGCCUGAUCCAGCAAUGCCGCGUGAGUGAAGAAGGCCUUCGGGUUGUAAAGCUCUUUUGUCAGGGAAGAAACGGUGAGGGCUAAUAUCUCUUGCUAAUGACGGUACCUGAAGAAUAAGCACCGGCUAACUACGUGCCAGCAGCCGCGGUAAUACGUAGGGUGCAAGCGUUAAUCGGAAUUGCUGGGCGUAAAGCGUGCGCAGGCGGUUUUGUAAGUUUGUCGUGAAAGCCCCGGGCUCAACCUGGGAAUUGCGAUGAAGACUGCAAGGCUUGAAUCUGGCAGAGGGGGGUAGAAUUCCACGUGUAGCAGUGAAAUGCGUAGAGAUGUGGAGGAACACCGAUGGCGAAGGCAGCCCCCUGGGUCAAGAUUGACGCUCAUGCACGAAAGCGUGGGGAGCAAACAGGAUUAGAUACCCUGGUAGUCCACGCCCUAAACGAUGUCUACUAGUUGUCGGGUUUUAAUUAACUUGGUAACGCAGCUAACGCGUGAAGUAGACCGCCUGGGAGUACGGUCGCAAGAUUAAAACUCAAAGGAAUUGACG